Molecule: ribosomal RNA, 322 nt
Filed under: uncultured eukaryote
Lineage: Eukaryota
Description: partial 18S ribosomal RNA
Rfam family: Eukaryotic small subunit ribosomal RNA
Source: RNAcentral
CCCUUAGAUGUUCUGGGCCGCACGCGUGCUACACUGAGUGGAUCAGCGGGUCAGGUUGCGCGAAAGCGUUUCCUAAUCUUUAAAUCCGCUCGUGAUGGGGAUUGACGGUUGCAAUUUUCUGUCAUGAACGAGGAAUACCUUGUAAGCGCGGGUCAUCAUCCCGCGCUGAAUACGUCCCUGCCCUUUGUACACACCGCCCGUCGCUCCUACCGAUUGAGUGGUCCGGUGAGGCUUUGGGAUCUGAGCGGAAGGAGCGUUUCGCUGUUUCUGCUCGGAAAACUCAGUCGAACCUUAUCAUUUAGAGGAAGGAGAAGUCGUAACG